GGGGAAGUAGCUAAGUGGUAUAGCGCAACUUUAGCAUAGUUGAGGUCCAGGGUUCAAUUCCCUGCUUCUCCA
Papiliotrema laurentii is the source of this 72-nucleotide non-coding RNA. The record is from the annotation of a GenBank genome assembly. Lineage: Eukaryota; Fungi; Basidiomycota; Tremellomycetes; Tremellales; Rhynchogastremaceae.